GACGAACGCUGGCGGCGUGCUUAACACAUGCAAGUCGAACGGAAAGGCCCUGCUUUUGUGGGGUGCUCGAGUGGCGAACGGGUGAGUAACACGUGAGUAACCUGCCCUUGACUUUGGGAUAACUUCAGGAAACUGGGGCUAAUGCCGGAUAGGAGCUCCUGCUGCAUGGUGGGGGUUGGAAAGUUUCGGCGGUUGGGGAUGGACUCGCGGCUUAUCAGCUUGUUGGUGGGGUAGUGGCUUACCAAGGCUUUGACGGGUAGCCGGCCUGAGAGGGUGACCGGCCACAUUGGGACUGAGAUACGGCCCAGACUCCUAUGGGAGGCAGCAGUGGGGAAUAUUGCACAAUGGGCGGAAGCCUGAUGCAGCAACGCCGCGUGCGGGAUGACGGCCUUCGGGUUGUAAACCGCUUUCGCCUGUGACGAAGCGUGAGUGACGGUAAUGGGUAAAGAAGCACCGGCUAACUACGUG
Molecule: ribosomal RNA, 468 nt
Filed under: uncultured bacterium
Lineage: Bacteria
Description: partial 16S ribosomal RNA
Rfam family: Bacterial small subunit ribosomal RNA
Source: RNAcentral